Molecule: long non-coding RNA, 6148 nt
Organism: Mustela lutreola (European mink)
Lineage: Eukaryota; Metazoa; Chordata; Mammalia; Carnivora; Mustelidae
Exons: 8
Source: RefSeq, a predicted model, not a curated record
CGACGCUCACGUUGUGCGACGCGGCGUCUCGGCUGAGUUGGGACCCUGGCCGCUGGCAGGAAGCAGGAGCUCUGGUUGAGCGCGCUGGUCUCUGAGUCAAAGCCAGUUCCUGCCUGAUGGAGGAUGAAGAAAUGAUUUCAAGAUCCAGUCACAGCUUUCAUCUUGUGUGCCCACAGAGGGACCAGCUCCAGAGGAUUCCAGCACUGGACAACAGACAUGGUUUAUCCUUCACUGCACCCAGGGAGCCGAAUGAAGCCCAUUUACUCUGGAGACAUGGAGUUCUGCCCAGCCCCGGUCCUCACACAUUCCACCCUAAUGAGAAAAGAGAAGCAGGCAAGCCUUCUUGAUCUUUCGAGUCCUAAAGCUGCUUCCCUAAACAGGGAGGAAAUAUCAGCCUUGGGCGUUUUCUCUAGCCCGUGACACUGGGCCAGAAGCCACUGCUGCCUCCUGGGAUCAGUGCCCCGUAGGUGCUGAGAGCUUGUUCCUGAAGAAGGAACCUGAAGUAUCUGUGUGAGCAUCUAGGACAGCCUGACUGACAGGAGAUGUUCAAAGAAUAUUUGUCAAAAGAAAAGAGUGGCUGCUGAGCCUGGAGAUGAGAGCACCACCUCCAGAGACUUACAGGUAGGCUAUGAAAUGGAAGAAGUCCACUUCUGCAUGAUAGCUCUAGGAUCCAGGGUAGAUUUCAGCUCCCCUCAAGAAAGGACUAAGAGAGUGUGAGCUGCUUGGGCAGUUAGGCCCACUGUGGCUGGAGGCACCGAGCAGAGGCUGGACAACCCCCCUGGGCAGGGAUACUGUAACGUUCUGGAAGAGGUCCCCGUGCGGGGCAGGGCUUGGUGUAACGGCGUCCCCACGUCCUCUUCAGACACAAGAGCCUGGGUCCCAUGUCGCCAUCCAGCAGCACCCCAAGCACUGUCCAGAUCCCCUUCACUGUGUACUGAGGACUUCUCCUUGGAAGACCACCACACUCAGGCGGGCCUGUUUUUAUUCACGGAUUCUUGUGAUUUUAUUUUUAUAUGGAAAAUAGAUACUUUUUAGCAUAAUGUUUGUCCGCCUGCAGCAGGAUUCCUGGGGUACUGAAAUUUAGACUUGGGACUUCCCAGUUCUACCCAGUCAGAGUCUCCGGGUGGGGCUCGGGAAUCAGGAUUUGGAGGAGCGGCCCGGCUGAUCCUCGCACAAGUAGAGUUUGAGGGUUGCCAUGUCCGGGUCCUCCCACGCCUGCCCUACAAGGAGCCACAGCUGUUCCCGAGGAGGAGCUGCGGAGUCUCGCUGUGUGCCCUUGACCUAGCAGACUGGAUGGACGGAGAGAAAGCAAAGACGGCCCCGAAGGAAAAAGGAGCACCCAGUUCACCGCUAAGAGUCUUGACUUUCAGAUGGAGUAAGGCGCUCCUUCAAGCUAGAGAAAGUGUGUGUAGUUUUUGCAAAAAAAACAAAAAAACAAAAAACUAAAAGUAAGGGAAAUACCAGGAAACGGAUAAAUGUGUGUUGAAGACAAGCCAACAGCCACUGGCUCUUGGAGGAUGAUACAAGACUGUAGACCAGGAGAGCUGGAAGAACGGAGGGUAUCCCCGUACCUCAGGUAAGAAUUAAUAGAAGGGAAAUGUAAAACCCUUCCAGGGGGGUCUACAUUUGCCCGACUGUGCCACUGGCCGGCCUUCACUGGCUUACCCAAACACCCGCAUGCAAAGAGAGUUUCUUGGGAGCAGCUCCUCCAUAACCUCCAGGGUCAGAGCCGCCCCAGUGGUGAUGGACGUGGGGCGGGGGGCUGUCCCUCCUUUGUGGUUCCUGGCCUGGGAGAGGCUGACCCUAAACAGGGAGCUCACUGUCCCACGACAGAGACCUACAUCCUACGUCUUUCUUAAAUCCUCAGAAUGGGAAUCCGGGUCUCAUGUUUACAGACAUCAGAUGGGCCCGAGUCCCUAUUAGGAGCUCUCUGUGCAGCUGAGGGGUCCCUCUCACUGCGCUGGGCUCUGGUUCACUCUGCUUGCUCCUUCCCAGAACCUGCUGUUAAACAGACGGCCAGUCUCAAGGGCUUCCGAAGUGAGCAAAGGAACCCCGCGGCGUGCGGAGUGUGGUAGCGCUGGACAGGGCACAGCGGUGGGGGCAGCUGAGGUGGUAAGUGCUUCCCCCCCAGCCCAACUCCGGGGACUCAAAGGGCUGCUACCUUGGGGACUGCUGGCAGGGCCAGGGGCUGCAGCCGCCACUGAGAACAGUGUCCAGUGGGAGUGGGUGUGCCCUAACGAGGUCUCUCAAAAGGCAUCCCGUUACAGACCAGGGGCCUGCCUGCAUUGACCCCAGAGUAGCUUCGGCUGAGGUCCCGCCUCGCCCGGGGUGUGUGUGGGGUGGGACAGGGCUGUGUCAGGCUUCCCUAUACUUUGGCUAGAUCUCCAAAGAGUCCCUCUGGAAACAGGACACUGGCCCUCCCCUGUGGGUGGGACCAGGGUCAGGCUCGGGUAGAACCCCCCCCCCCCCCACCACCACCAAGGGCCCUCCUGGGUGAAUAUGGGACUUCUGCCCCACAUGCUAUCAAGAGCGUGCCAAGAGCCAGGAGGACAGUGAUGGGCCACUCGUGUGAGGACAGAUCUCGCCUUCCCUCACCCUCCCCAGAGCUCUCGAUAACUGACCUGGGAUUCUUACACCAGGCCCGGAGGCACGACGUGUCUCUCCUCCAUGCUCCGACUUGUGCCUAAGAACCACGCCUGCUUCUCUUGUGCUGGUGUGAAGGCAGGGCAGGGACCCCAGGGGCAGAGGUUCGAGGUGGGGCUGGGGAGGGAGGCAGGGCUCAGGCAAGAGGCACUACCUGCCUGAGCUACUGGGAAAAGUGCGGCCUCCGGUGUCUAUCAUGAGCCUCUAAAUGGUGAGUGCUGGGGGACACGAGCCCGUGCCAAGUGACACGGGCAGCACUGCCCUGCAGACGGGAUCACUGGGGUUCCCAAAGGGAAAGACUAGUCUUCAAACGUUAAUUUAAAAAAAAAACAACAACAAAAAACAAUACAACAAACAGAACUAAAAAAUAAACAGAACAAAAAUUAAACUUCCGUGGGAUGUUUAGAGAUGAGAUAUGUAGAAUGAUGUGACCACAAUGGAGGGAGGGAGGUUUCAUCCACUAGAAGGUCCAUCCCCGAGCACGCACAGGUGUUACUGAGCAGGAGCCUGCCGUCUCCAUGUGACUCUGCGAGCACACUGUGCCUCCUUCCAACAGCAGAGAGCACUAGCUGGUGGUCACCAGAAUUUUUUAAAGGUCACUAAAGCCACUGACCACCACAGGGGGUUGGGGCAUUUGGGAAGUAGGACAGGCUGGCCUGGUCGCAGCGUGUAAACGCUCUGGACUGGGCAGUCCGGGAGUGACCUGUCCCCAACCUCUGCUCUGGUGAGUGUGUCGGGGUGGGGAGCGCGCAAGCCAUGCCUGGCUUGCGGUGAGGACUGGAGUGUAGGCGAGACUGUCGGACCACAACACCCGAGACGCAAGGCUCUGUGCAGCUCGAAUCACUCCGACUGGGGGGGACACCCGUCCUACACAGCUGAUGGGCACUAGGUGCGUCAUAGGGUGGCCCUUUGGGCAGCACCAACCAGCAUAGGCUGCUGGCUGUGAUACCAGGGCCAGAGCGCCUCCCAGAAAAUGCCUAACAAAUCCAGUUUCUUCCACUGGAUGGGCAAUGUGAUGGCUCUGCCCAUCAUGUCAGCAAAAUGCCUGGGCGCGUCCCAGGAGUCUGGCUCUCUUACCACAGGUGCUUCAAGGCAAGCGAAGCCAGCUGCUUUCGGAAGGGCAGAGGAGGAGCACGUGGUCAUCCCAACAAUCUGAUGCAAGCUUUAGGGGUACUUAGACAUUCUCCUCUGCUACAUCAUUUUCAGGUUUUGUCCACAGGUCCCAACAACAUGGCCAGGAAAGUCCAAGCAAGCACAGAACUACCUCAAGACAGCACACAGCAGAGCCCUUGCAGGGUCUCCAACUGCUCCGGCCCCACAGGCUGAUGCCAGGGGCAGCACUCAACACGGGAACGCAGCGCAACCCAGCCACAUGCCUAUGUUGCCUAGGUUGGGCCACAGGUGCCGUCAGAAAUCUCUCGCUGCAAAGGGCUGACUUCAACCUGUCACUCCCCCAACUCCUAAGCGUCCCAUAAAGGCUGAACACAGACGGACACACUCCAGACUAUCGAGUUCAAUGAAAAAUGGACCAAAGAGCACAAAGAAAGAAGGGGCACAGGAUGGUAGGGCCACCUCUGGACAUGGGCUGAGCAGGAGUGAGAACACCUCUUGCAGCCAUGCCCGUGCCUUUACCGCUGCCUGUUGGCACUAAGAGCCCUGCCUGACAAUGUGGAGGGUAGGACUGAUCAGCAUCUGGCCUGCCCACUCCCUGGAGCCCCGCAUGUCUGUCAGACACACGCAUUCAUGCACACUCCACCGUUGCAAACCACAGUGGUCUUACUUUGCCAUCUCCUUAACCCAUUCAUGCACACGCAGGCCCACGUCCUAGGCGGCCACAACCUUUCUCUCUUUCUCCCGCUGGGAGGCGCUAUUGUGACAACUGAGCAGAGCCCCCAGGCAAGCAUCAGAGACAGGACAGGCAUGAGGGGGCCACACUAAGGCAGCUGGGAGACUGGGACAUCUUCCUACUAUGCUUGAAGACGCAGAGAGUUUACGGGGCCCCCUUCCAACAGGCUGCACUAUAGGGCCGGUGUCCCCCUCUCCUGCCUGUGGCUGGCACUGGCUGAUCUGGAGAAGCAGAGUGGUGUUGAAGACUGCUUUCUGCUCUGAAGUCUGGUCAAUGCAGAGACUAACCACCAGCGGCAAGGGGGCUGGGCCAGCAGGCAGGACUCUCACUUUGUUCCCACACUUGAGUUGGUCCUGGAUCCCUAGCGACAGGUCUGUGUCUCCUAGGAGAACGACUCCCGUCAUGGUCGCCAGCGGAUGCCUUUCACAGAUGGCGUUUGCCAACAUCUCCUUUCUCCACUUGCUCUGUUUCAAGCGAUUCAAUUUAAUCUUUGUUGCAGUGGAGAGGCCCUCAGAAAAUGGGAUUUUUAACUAACUGGGCACCGUCUCUUCCUUCUCUUGGGGUCCCCACAGAGAAGAGGUCUGGACCAUGAUUGUGCAAUAAGCAAGCAUCGAAAAGAAAGCGCUUAAAAACAAUUAGGGGGUCCUUGUAUGGAAUGGCAGAGGGUAGAUAAGGUUUCAAAAAAAGAUCCUUACUCAACCAACUGCCAAGGCUUGGCUGGAGCUGGGUUUUUCCCAUCUGAGGAGUCCCGCGGGCCGGCUUAGCCUCCGUCCUCCAGGGCUGAAUGACAUAGGACCGUUGCCCCAGGAUGCUUGGCCAAGCCUUCCCAGGGGUCCAAUACAUCUCAACCCACUGCACAGAUAGGUACAAAGCACAACAAAGCUUUGCACGGGCGACCAAUCAUGAGGAUGGCUGGCAGCAAGCAAGUUGUCAGGGGCUGUUCAGGCACGUUAGGAGGUGAAGCAUUGUGCAUUAAUUCCAAGCGGGAAACUCACAGAAAAGCAGAGGCCGUCAUACCUGGGAUGGCCGUGGGCUGGGCCGAGGUCCUGAACACAAAGUGAGCCGCCUUGGACUUCCCCUGCUGGUUCUCAGCCACCACGUAGACCUCAUACUCCGCAUUCCAUUCCAGGGACUUGAGCAUGACGUGGUCACUGCCAGACGGGAGCCGGAUCUCUGGUUUCCACUCGGAAGAGAGCUUCUGGGAGAAACCGGCAGGAAGGACACAAGACACCAGGAUAGUUUAGAUGAAAAUGCUGGUGAGACCCACUCACGGGAAGUGCUUCAGGGAGUCACUACUAUUAGUACAAAAUAAUACAAAUAAAAACCGAUGAGAGGCCAGGGUGGUUGUCCUUUACCAGCCUGAAAACCCCUAAGGACAAUGAAGGUCAGGAGGUCAACCUCGCAUUUUGUAAGCACAGCAGCUGAUGGCGGGUGCCAUAGGGCAACCCUCCAGUGUCUUGUCCCAUUGCCAUCCAGGGCACCCAGGGACUCAAGAACAUUCCGGAAGACGUGGCAUAUGGACACCCCAGAAGAGCCAUGCAACGAAUAUGCUUCUUGUCCGGUUUCAGGAUGUUGCUCCCACUCAGCUGUGUGACUCACCUUCCCACACGGGAACGUGGCAUAGGUUCAUUUUGUUAAUAAAAAUUACCAUUUGUUGAA